RNAcentral lists this ribosomal RNA (440 nucleotides) under uncultured bacterium. Its description in RNAcentral is "partial 16S ribosomal RNA". It matches the Rfam family "Bacterial small subunit ribosomal RNA", at positions 338 to 795 of the family's 1533-position model. The record is from RNAcentral.
CCUACGGGAGGCAGCAGUGGGGAAUAUUGCACAAUGGGGUAAACCCUGAUGCAGCGACGCCGCGUGAGUGAAGAAGUAUUUCGGUACGUAAAGCUCUAUCAGCAGGGAAGAAAAUGACGGUACCUGACUAAGAAUCCCCGGCUAACUACGUGCCAGCAGCCGCGGUAAUACGUAGGGGGCAAGCGUUAUCCGGAUUUACUGGGUGUAAAGGGAGCGUAGACGGCAGCGCAAGUCUGGAGUGAAAUCCCAUGGCUUAACCAUGGAACUGCUUUGGAAACUGUGCAGCUAGAGUGCAGGAGAGGUAAGCGGAAUGCCUAGUGUAGCGGUGAAAUGCGUAGAUAUUAGGCGGAACACCAGUGGCGAAGGCGGCUUACUGGACUGUAACUGACGUUGAGGCUCGAAAGCGUGGGGAGCAAACAGGAUUAGAUACCCUAGUAGUC